This 146-nucleotide small nuclear RNA is filed under the name Fukomys damarensis (Damara mole-rat). RNAcentral describes it as "U2 spliceosomal RNA". It matches the Rfam family "U2 spliceosomal RNA". Rfam says of the family: U2 is a small nuclear RNA (snRNA) component of the spliceosome (involved in pre-mRNA splicing). Complementary binding between U2 snRNA (in an area lying towards the 5' end but 3' to hairpin I) and the branchpoint sequence (BPS) of the intron results the bulging out of an unpaired adenosine, on the BPS, which initiates a nucleophilic attack at the intronic 5' splice site, thus starting the first of two transesterification reactions that mediate splicing. Lineage: Eukaryota; Metazoa; Chordata; Mammalia; Rodentia; Bathyergidae. The record is from Rfam by way of RNAcentral.
AUCGCUUCUCGGCCUUUUGGCUAAGAUCAAGUGAAAAAUAUCUUACCUCUUAAUCAAUUUUGAAAGAUAGUUUUGUAAGAUACACCAGCCUAGGCUGGAAAUUGUUUUCUUUGAAAGUUUGAAAUAUCUCACUCCAGGAUCUUCUU